Molecule: long non-coding RNA, 1131 nt
Organism: Oncorhynchus mykiss (rainbow trout)
Lineage: Eukaryota; Metazoa; Chordata; Actinopteri; Salmoniformes; Salmonidae
Source: Ensembl
AUGUGGGUUGCUAAUACAGGUUAUAUUACUACUGAAGAGAAUAAAACAAAAACAAAGGAAGCUUCCCAUCAACACCAUUUUAUUCAUACGCAGAUUAAAAAUAUACAAUUUUCAAAUUUAAGCUUCAGCAAAUGUUCUUUAGCAUCAACAACAAGCUGGCUAGCAUAUCAACUGUCUUUAGCAUCAACAACAAGCUGGCUAGCAUAUCAACUGUCUUUAGCAUCAACAACAAGUUGGCCAGCAUAUCAACUGUCUUUAGCAUCAACAACAAGCUGGCUAGCAUAUCAACUGUCUUUAGCAUCAACAACAAGCUGGCUAGCAUAUCAACUGUCUUUAGCAUCAACAACAAGUUGGCUAGCAUAUCAACUGUCUUUAGCAUCAACAACAAGUUGGCUAGCUUAUCAACUGUCUUUAGCAUCAACAACAAGUUGGCCAGCAUAUCAACUGUCUUUAGCAUCAACAACAAGUUGGCUAGCAUAUCAACUGUCUUUAGCAUCAACAACAAGCUGGCUAGCAUAUCAACUGUCUUUAGCAUCAACAACAAGUUGGCUAGCAUAUCAACUGUCUUUAGCAUCAACAACAAGCUGGCUAGCAUAUCAACUGUCUUUAGCAUCAACAACAAGUUGGCUAGCAUAUCAACUGUCUUUAGCAUCAACAACAAGUUGGCUAGCAUAUCAACUGUCUUUAGCAUCAACAACAAGCUGGCUAGCAUAUCAACUGUCUUUAGCAUCAACAACAAGCUGGCUAGCAUAUCAACUGUCUUUAGCAUCAACAACAAGUUGGCUAGCAUAUCAACUGUCUUUAGCAUCAACAACAAGCUGGCUAGCAUAUCAACUGUCUUUGGCAUCAACAACAAGCUGGCUAGCAUAUCAACUGUCUUUAGCAUCAACAACAAGUUGGCUAGCAUAUCAACUGUCUUUAGCAUCAACAACAAGUUGGCUAGCAUAUCAACUGUCUUUAGCAUCAACAACAAGCUGGCUAGCAUAUCAACUGUCUUUAGCAUCAACAACAAGUUGGCUAGCAUAUCAACUGUCUUUAGCAUCAACAACAAGCUGGCUAGCAUAUCAACUGUCUUUAGCAUCAACAACAAGUUGGCUAGCAUAUAAAAUGUCUUUAGCAUCAGCAAAUUAA